GAGGGUAGAGCUCAGUGGUAGAGCACUUGCUUAGCAUGCAUGAGGUCCUGGGUUCAAUCCCCAAUACCUCCA
This 72-nucleotide transfer RNA is filed under the name Camelus bactrianus (Bactrian camel). It matches the Rfam family "tRNA". Rfam says of the family: Transfer RNA (tRNA) molecules are approximately 80 nucleotides in length. Their secondary structure includes four short double-helical elements and three loops (D, anti-codon, and T loops). Lineage: Eukaryota; Metazoa; Chordata; Mammalia; Artiodactyla; Camelidae. The record is from Rfam by way of RNAcentral. RNAcentral also lists the same sequence under 2 other names.